CCUCAGCAUCUGAGUGCUCGGAGUCUGUGAUGGCCAAUUCCCUGGCAACAGUAGAAUCAUCCAGCUUAGGAAAGAAAAGACCAACAAGCCUGAAGAGAGAAUGCCAUUAGGAACAGGUGGCCAGGAAGAUACAUUGCCCAACACAAGGUGACCUGGGCUGUUUAAAAGACGAUCACGCCAGUUCCAGAAGUUCUGCCAUGAUGAAGUAACCUGCAAGCACAGCACGUGCAAAGACAAGACAUAAUGGAACAAAGUACUUUUGGGAUCAGCACAGGUAAAGGAUGAGUGAAAAAUAAGGAAGACUCUCCUGGAUUAGUUCAGUCCUGCCAUGUCCAUUCAUGCAGGCCCAAAACCUCGCGUGCGGAUAGAACUGUACAAGUUUGAGAAGACAUCAUGCAAAACAUUUUUUAGCAACUAUAAUCAGCACGAGAACUUCCCAACUUAGCAAAAACAACUGCAAAUGAAGUCAACUCUGAAUAGUCACAUAUGAAUUAUUCAAUUUGGGGAUUGCCCAAGGCCCCAUUACUCCUUUUAUCCACUGAGAACUCACAAUCUAUUCUUUCUUAAUGAUGUACUUUUUUCUUUUUUGUAAAGACAACUGCGUUUAUUGGAGAAAGUUUAGAAAAUGUGAUAACUAAAGAAGAAAUUAAAAAUG
Molecule: long non-coding RNA, 655 nt
Organism: Suricata suricatta (meerkat)
Lineage: Eukaryota; Metazoa; Chordata; Mammalia; Carnivora; Herpestidae
Exons: 3
Source: RefSeq, a predicted model, not a curated record